ACGGCCGUACCAUGCUGAAUAUACCGGUUCUCGUUAGAUCACCGAAGUCAAGCAUCAUUGGGCGCGGUCAGUACUUGGGUGGGUGACCACCUGGGAACACCGCAUGCCGUU
Molecule: ribosomal RNA, 111 nt
Filed under: Caerostris darwini
Lineage: Eukaryota; Metazoa; Arthropoda; Arachnida; Araneae; Araneidae
Source: RNAcentral